This 118-nucleotide ribosomal RNA is filed under the name Tropilaelaps mercedesae. Lineage: Eukaryota; Metazoa; Arthropoda; Arachnida; Mesostigmata; Laelapidae. The record is from RNAcentral.
GCCAUUGGCCAUACCACAUCGAAUACACCGGUCUUCGUCUUAUCCCGAAGCUUAACAACGUUGGGCCCGGGUGGUACUUCGAAGAAAGACCGCCUGGGAACACUGGGUGUUGAUGCCA